CCAGGAUGGUAUUUUGUUAAAACAGCUGAAUGGACUAAGACAAGAAAUUCACAGCAAGGAGAAAAUUACCUGAGUCUUACCAAUCUGUUUCUCACCCUUUCUACCCUGAAUGAGACCAUUCAGGCUUUCUUAUUAUCUUCAGGUUUACUGGAUGUUCUCCUAAAAACGUAUUUCAGUUGGUCAUUCAGUUGUUAAAUUAGGUUUAGCCUAAAGCUGCCUCCUUACAUAUUUUAAAUUCAGCCAAAAGGUUUCUCCAUAGUAAACUGUAACCUAACUAUAUGUGUAAACAGAGCAUAACCUACUCUUCUGCUAAUCACCAAGUAUUGGCCAAUCAAAGGUGACCAACUAUUCAAAUCGUGUUCAAAUAAGGCAAAUGCCAAACUGUAACCAAUCCAGAAAUAAGGCAAACACCAAACUGUAACCAAUCCAGCUGUUUCCGCACCUCAUUUCCAUUUACUAAUGUCACUUUCCUUUUUCUGUCCAUAAAUCUUCCAACAUGUGGCUGUACUGGAGUCUCUCUGAAUGUACUCUGGCCUGGGGAUUGGGGGUGUAGGGGCUGUGGAAGUGGAGGUGAUCCCAGAUUCAAGACUCAUUCUUUGCUCAAUUAAACUCUUUUAUUUUAUUUUAUUUUAUUUUUGAGGUGGAGUUUCACUCUUGUUGCCCAGGCUGGAGUGCAAUGGCGUGAUCUUGGCUCACUGAAACCUCUGCCUCCCGGGUUCAAGCGAUUCUCCUGCCUCAGCCUCCUGAGUGGCUGGGAUUACAGGCAUACGCCACUACGACUGGCUAAUUUUGUAUUUUUAGUAAAGAUGGGAUUUCUCCAUGUUGGUGAGGCUGGUCUUGAACUCCCAACCUCAGAUGGCAUCUGAAGUGAGAUCCAAAGUGGAGCUUACAGAGACCUCCAGGAGCACUGAAUGGCCAAGACAGGCUACCUGCUAGGCCCAUGGUGUCCACUGCUUUUGUGCAGCAACUGGGGCACGUUUUUAGCCUCUGAAUUAAGAGUUCUGCAUAGGUAGCCAUGGUGAAGUCUGGAAACACGUUCUCAGUGCCUCAACCAGCAGCUACAAGUCAGAGUCAAGCCCAUUAUGACCCCUUCUUCCUGCCUGAGCUUUGGCCCCAGAUAUUCUGAGAGGGGUUGGAUCCUCCAGGGCAUCGACCUCACAGCUCUGUCUUCUGUCCUGAGCUCUUCUCCUGGCAUGUAAAUUCAGGACUCAGAUAAGCCCUGCCCUUCAUAGCCACCUUGGAUGCUGCGUGACUACCUGUGAGUCAGGAGGACUGGAAAAGACAUUAGGGAGGGUACCUGUGUCCUACUUUCAAAAUGUUUUUCAGUAAUUUUAAAUCUUAAAGUGAUGUUAUGUUAAAGCAUAAUCAUAAAAUGGGAGUCAUUUGUAAGUUAAAAAAUAUUAAAACAUUAAUUACCAAACCUAAGUUUAAGUUUAUAUAGUUUGGCAUCUUAUUUUUGUAUGGUAUAGAGAAGCUAAAUAUAUUUACGUCUGUUAAUAAAAUAUAGGAAGAAACAUCUUUCUAAAAUUUAUAGAAUAAUUUAAUAAUUUUUAUCUGCAAAUACUGAUAUAAAACAGUUCAAAAUUACUUCCUAGGGAUUUCACUAAAAACUAGGGUUAAAGAGUUCAUGUAGUUAAUAUAUGUAAUUAAAACAACUAGAUGUAAGAAAAACAAUUCUGUAUAGUAUAUAAAAGCAAGAUAUGCUUUUGAUGAUGGAAGUUAUAAAGGCAUAAAAUGUAUGUUUGUUAAAAAAAAAUUUGUCUAGGCGAAGUUACUAGAGUUGCCUAGUUUGAAGUUUGUCCAGUUUGAAGUUAGUUAAAGGUUACUUAAGUUACUUAAAGGUUGUUUCAAAUUGAAGGAAUAAAAGGAAUGUAGAUAAAAUUAAAAUAUAAAAAGUUGAAAAAAUUUUUAAUUGUACGAGAUUAUAAAAGGGUUAUGGGAAUCUGGUGUGGUCAAAAGCUGACUGACAUUGAAUGAGUUUGUUUAUAAGGUUUUAUUAAAAUUAGCUUUAUUGAUAAUACACUAAUGCAAAAGUAAAAUUUGGUUUUCUCUUUUGAACAAAAAUUUCUUAUAGUGUUAAUAGUGAUAGCAAGAUAUUUUUGUUUACCUUUUGAGUAAACUGCAAAAAAUAAAAAAAGAGAGAGAGAGACAGAUUCUGCCUCACGCUGUCUUUCUCAGGUCUUUAGAUUGUUUGGAAAACUGCGUCUCCUCUAUCAGAGAGUAAUGUUUUUGCUUUUUAAAAUCUUUUCGUUAUCACUUUACCUAAAUAAAUGACUACUAUUUUAUGAUGACCUGUGACCCUAUUUUGAUCAAGUGUUUUAAACCUUUUAUAUUUGUUUGACAGGCUUCCCAAAAUCAAAUUUCCACUUCAAAAUUAAGUCUCUUUUGACCUUGAAUUUUAGAAUACUACAGAGAGCCCCUGAAGCCUCCAUAAGAGAGUUAACGGGAUUGAUAUGUUAAAUCAUAUGGAAAGCAUUGCCAAAUAAUAAAUGAUGUUUAACCUUCU
RNAcentral lists this long non-coding RNA (2506 nucleotides) under Homo sapiens (human). RNAcentral describes it as "HSALNT0072552". Lineage: Eukaryota; Metazoa; Chordata; Mammalia; Primates; Hominidae. The record is from RNAcentral.